GAACCAAGGGAAAUUUAUUUUCAGAACGGGACAGAAAGCAUCCGCAGUAUUAGUUGGUAAGGAAGAGAAAACAUAAGUUCUGAAGGUUAGAGAGAAGAGACAGUCCAAUGAAACUUCUGCAGAGGUGAGGGGACAGGAGCUCAGGUCGAGGUGUGUUUCUGAAGGGACUCGGAGAUGUGAGAGAACUCACUAAGGAAAGGUGAUGAUGGAUGAGGCAUGGGGUGAGCUCAUCUGAACCAAGAGUUGCCUCACAGCAAAUGAGAUCUUCUGAUGAGUUGGGAUUUUCCACAGUCCCAACUACAGCACAUUCAGGGUCUUAUGGAAUCUUUCUCAUCGGGACUUCCUGGGAAGAUGGGAACAAAUGCCUAUUCACGUCAGAUAGGGCCCGGAUGACAGACAAGAGAGACCAUUGGAGCUGGCAGGGGCCUUCUUUUGUUUGCAUCACAUAAAGUUUACAGAACAAUUUGAACACUACACCGGACCUAUGGGAAGUGGAGAAGACAUAGUUAUUUCCAUUCAACGCACAAGCAAAGUGGAAAGAUGCUCAAGAAGUGUUUAGGGGACUGAUGUCAUACAGAAGAGUCCAGCUUCUCAGUCCACGGGCUGGCAGAGCACUUUAUAACAAGAUGGUUCAUCAUGUCAACCCCACCCAGCAGCACAAGCUUCUGGUGGUCUGCGUGAGGACCUGUCACCAGAACAUACAGCCAAGUUAAGACUGACCAUUCUUCACAGUGGGAAAAGACGUUGGGAGGCAAUAGGGACAAACGGGUGUGCGGCUCAGGGGAGAGACAGAGGCAGGAAGGGAGAUGGGAAGUACAAGCAUAGAGGUGUUGAGUAGUCUUCAUUUAUUAGACCUCAGCACCUCUCGCUCACCCCAGAGGGCAGUGGGAGCAAUGCCUGCAUGCCCGAUACAUUCCCAAUGCCUCUGAACGUCAGCUCAGAGGAUAGAGCUCACUGUGAAAACCAGCUGCCAGGCUGCUGUCUCCAGGUCUCCCUGGCUCUGCAGUCCCUGUCCUCUCGGAAAUACUGAGCUCAGGAGGAAGGAAUUCCCUCGGUACCUCUGUUGUUCCCUUCUCUUGUUUCCUAAGAGAACCUAGUAUUUCAGUGACUGCUUCCAAAGAGCUCCACUUGGAUGCCAGUAUCCUGCCAGAAAUUCUUCUGCACGUACCUUUAAUCAUGUGGCAAAUUGCCUUAUUAAUCACCAGGGACUCCAGUCUCAUUACUUAAUUAAACCAUCUCUUCUUGUGCUUCUUAUUAAAACCACGCGAGUUUUUAA
RNAcentral lists this long non-coding RNA (1276 nucleotides) under Mus musculus (house mouse). RNAcentral describes it as "predicted gene 2379". The record is from RNAcentral. Lineage: Eukaryota; Metazoa; Chordata; Mammalia; Rodentia; Muridae.